AAUAAGAAUCAGUUUAGCUCAAAGUGAUCGAUCAACGACUCUGGUCAGGAGGAAUGUAAUACCGUCUCAUCAGGCAAUUUCUAAAAGACUCAAUUAAAGUUGUAGUUAACCCUAUAAGAACUCACCCCUAGUCCUAGAUUAUUUAAUUAAGCUAUUAGUUGAACAUAUGAACUCAAUUGAAAUUGUAUAAAACAAAUGUUUAAGCUGUUACAACAGAUAUCUUUACUAUUAGAUUUAAUCAAACAGGUUAAGUUAUCUAUUGC
RNAcentral lists this long non-coding RNA (263 nucleotides) under Capsicum annuum. Its description in RNAcentral is "long non-coding RNA (CANN_LNC014589)". The record is from RNAcentral. Lineage: Eukaryota; Viridiplantae; Streptophyta; Magnoliopsida; Solanales; Solanaceae.